RNAcentral lists this ribosomal RNA (1200 nucleotides) under metagenome. RNAcentral's name for it is "bacterial SSU rRNA". It matches the Rfam family "Bacterial small subunit ribosomal RNA", at positions 288 to 1498 of the family's 1533-position model. The record is from RNAcentral.
GGUUCUGAGAGGAUUAUCCCCCACACUGGUACUGAGACACGGACCAGACUCCUACGGGAGGCAGCAGUGAGGAAUAUUGGUCAAUGGACGCGAGUCUGAACCAGCCAUCCCGCGUGCAGGAUGACGGCCCUAUGGGUUGUAAACUGCUUUUCUACGCCAAGAAACACUAUUACGUGUAAGAGUUUGACGGUAGCGUAGGAAUAAGCAUCGGCUAACUCCGUGCCAGCAGCCGCGGUAAUACGGAGGAUGCAAGCGUUAUCCGGAUUCAUUGGGUUUAAAGGGUGCGCGGGCGGGCUUGUAAGUCAGUGGUGAAAUACUGCCGCUUAACGGUAGAACUGCCAUUGAUACUGCAAGUCUUGAAUAUGGUUGAGGUAGGCGGAAUGUGUCGUGUAGCGGUGAAAUGCAUAGAUAUGACACAGAACGCCGAUUGCGAAGGCAGCUUACUAAGCCAUUGUUGACGCUGAGGCACGAAAGCGUGGGGAGCGAACAGGAUUAGAUACCCUGGUAGUCCACGCCGUAAACGAUGUCCACUCGCUGUCUGCGAUACACAGUAGGCGGCUGAGCGAAAGCAUUAAGUGAACCACCUGGGGAGUACGAUCGCAAGGUUGAAACUCAAAGGAAUUGACGGGGGCCCGCACAAGCGGAGGAACAUGUAGUUUAAUUCGAUGAUACGCGAGGAACCUUACCUGGGCUUAAAUGUAGAUUGCAUAACUUAGAAAUAGGUUUUCCCUUCGGGGCUAUUUACAAGGUGCUGCAUGGUUGUCGUCAGCUCGUGCCGUGAGGUGUCGGGUUAAGUCCCAUAACGAGCGCAACCCUUAUCGUUAGUUGCCAGCGGGUCAAGCCGGGGACUCUAGCGAGACUGCCACCGUAAGGUGAGAGGAAGGUGGGGAUGACGUCAAAUCAGCACGGCCCUUAUGUCCAGGGCUACACACGUGUUACAAUGGUCGGUACAAAGGGCAGCUACUUGGUGACAAGAUGCUAAUCCCUAAAGCCGAUCCCAGUUCGGAUUGGAGUCUGCAACCCGACUCCAUGAAGUUGGAUUCGCUAGUAAUCGGAUAUCAGCCAUGAUCCGGUGAAUACGUUCCCGGGCCUUGUACACACCGCCCGUCAAACCAUGGGAGCUGGGGGUGCCUGAAGUCUGCCACCGAAAGGAGCGGCCUAGGGUAAAACUAGUGACUGGGGUUAAGUCGUAACAAGGUA